GAUGAAGAACGCAGCGAAAUGCGAUAAGUAAUGUGAAUUGCAGAAUUCAGUGAAUCAUCGAAUCUUUGAACGCACAUUGCGCCCGCCAGUAUUCUGGCGGGCAUGCCUGUUCGAGCGUCAUUUCAACCAUCAAGCCCCCGGCUUGUGUUGGGGACCUGCGGCUGCCGCAGGCCCUGAAAACCAGUGGCGGGCUCGCUAGUCACUCCGAGCGUAGUAAUACAUCUCGCUCAGGGCGUGCUGCGGGUUCCGGCCGUUAAAAAGCCUUAUUUACCCAAGGUUGACCUCGGAUCAGGUAGGAAGACCCGCUGAACUUAAGCAUAUCAAAAGCGGAGGA
RNAcentral lists this unclassified non-coding RNA (334 nucleotides) under soil metagenome. RNAcentral's name for it is "partial contains 5.8S ribosomal RNA, internal transcribed spacer 2, and large subunit ribosomal RNA". The stretch from base 1 to 120 matches the Rfam family "5.8S ribosomal RNA", at positions 35 to 154 of the family's 154-position model. The record is from RNAcentral.